RNAcentral lists this ribosomal RNA (255 nucleotides) under uncultured bacterium. RNAcentral describes it as "partial 16S ribosomal RNA". It matches the Rfam family "Bacterial small subunit ribosomal RNA", at positions 524 to 776 of the family's 1533-position model. The record is from RNAcentral.
UACGAAGGGGGCUAGCGUUGUUCGGAUUUACUGGGCGUAAAGCGCACGUAGGCGGUUUGUCGCGUCGAAUGUGAAAACCCGGGGCUCAACCCCGGGCCUGCAUUCGAUACUGGCAGGCUAGAGUGCGGUAGAGGGUAGUGGAAUUCCCGGUGUAGCGGUGAAAUGCGUAGAGAUCCGGAAGAACACCGGUGGCGAAGGCGGUUAGCUGGGCAGUUGCUGACACUGGAGGCGACGACAGCGUGGGGAGCAAACAGG